UUAUAGCCUAAAAUGUUCACUUGGCGGCUGUGUGGAACACGGGUUGUAGGAGGGUACGAAUGGAAGCAAAGAGACUAGUUGAAGCUUUGCGGUUCUCCAGGCAGCAGACGAUGGUGCUUUACACUACGGUGAGGUUGGUGAAGAUGGAGAAGAGUGAGUGGACCGGCCACAGGUUUUGGAAGUAGAGGCAGCAGAACUUGCUGGUAUUGAUAUCUCCAUUUCAGAGAGGAUAAAAUCGAGGCUCAAAGAGGUGAAGUAAUUGGCUCAGAGUUACACAGAAGAGAAAUCAUAUAGACCAAAGUCAUAAUGUCAGAAGAGUCAAUGGAAAUCCUCCCUACUCUGUCUCAUCCCAAAGAAAUGUGCAAUGGCUCUGCCUUCUCCUUCAGUUCACAAGUGGAAAAUGUCCUACAGCUGCACUCUCCAAAAUGGUAACACUAGCUACCCGUUAGCUAUUGAACACUUGAAGUAUAGCUAGUCCGAACUGAGGUGUACUUGUCAGUGUGAAAUGCACACCGGAUUUUGAAGACUUAGUAUCACAGAAAAAGAAUGGAAAAUAUCUCAACAAUCAUUUUUUAUUGAUUACAUGUUGAAACAAUAAUACUUUG
This is a long non-coding RNA of Balaenoptera ricei (Rice's whale), 605 nucleotides long. RefSeq lists it as uncharacterized. NCBI's taxonomy places the organism in Eukaryota, Metazoa, Chordata, Mammalia, Artiodactyla, Balaenopteridae. The record is from RefSeq and is a predicted model, not a curated record. The transcript is spliced from 3 exons.